This 460-nucleotide ribosomal RNA is filed under the name uncultured bacterium. RNAcentral's name for it is "partial 16S ribosomal RNA". It matches the Rfam family "Bacterial small subunit ribosomal RNA", at positions 338 to 795 of the family's 1533-position model. The record is from RNAcentral.
CCUACGGGAGGCAGCAGUGAGGAAUAUUGGUCAAUGGACGAGAGUCUGAACCAGCCAAGUAGCGUGAAGGAUGACUGCCCUAUGGGUUGUAAACUUCUUUUAUAUGGGAAUAAAAUGUUCCACGUGUGGGAUUUUGUAUGUACCAUAUGAAUAAGGAUCGGCUAACUCCGUGCCAGCAGCCGCGGUAAUACGGAGGAUCCGAGCGUUAUCCGGAUUUAUUGGGUUUAAAGGGAGCGUAGGUGGAUUGUUAAGUCAGUUGUGAAAGUUUGCGGCUCAACCGUAAAAUUGCAGUUGAAACUGGCAGUCUUGAGUACAGGAGAGGUGGGCGGAAUGCGUGGUGUAGCGGUGAAAUGCUUAGAUAUCACGAAGAACUCCGAUUGCGAAGGCAGUUCACUGGACUGCAACUGACACUGAGGCUCGAAAGUGUGGGUAUCAAACAGGAUUAGAUACCCUUGUAGUC